This 497-nucleotide ribosomal RNA is filed under the name uncultured bacterium. RNAcentral describes it as "partial 16S ribosomal RNA". It matches the Rfam family "Bacterial small subunit ribosomal RNA", at positions 28 to 507 of the family's 1533-position model. The record is from RNAcentral.
GAUGAACGCUGGCGGCGUGCCUAAUACAUGCAAGUCGAGCGAACAGACGAGGAGCUUGCUCCUCUGACGUUAGCGGCGGACGGGUGAGUAACACGUGGAUAACCUACCUAUAAGACUGGGAUAACUUCGGGAAACCGGAGCUAAUACCGGAUAAUAUAUUGAACCGCAUGGUUCAAUAGUGAAAGACGGUUUUGCUGUCACUUAUAGAUGGAUCCGCGCCGCAUUAGCUAGUUGGUAAGGUAACGGCUUACCAAGGCAACGAUGCGUAGACGACCUCAGAGGGGGGUCGGCCACAUGGGAAGGUAGACGCGGUCAAGACUCCUAAGGGAGGCAGCAGACGGGAAUCUGCCGCAAUGGGCGAAAACCUUGCGGAGCAACGCCGCGUGAGUGACGAAGGUCUUGGGAGCGUAAAACUCUGUUAUUAGGGAAGAACAAAUGUGUAAGUAACUAUGCACGUCUUGACGGUACCUAAUCAGAAAGCCACGGCUAACUACGUG